AGAUUGAAUGCUGGCGGCAGGCCUAACACAUGCAAGUCGAGCGGCAGCACGGGUACUUGUACCUGGUGGCGAGCGGCGGACGGGUGAGUAAUGCCUAGGAAUCUGCCUGGUAGUGGGGGAUAACGCUCGGAAACGGACGCUAAUACCGCAUACGUCCGUACGGGAGAAAGCAGGGGACCUUCGGGCCUUGCGCUAUCAGAUGAGCCUAGGUCGGAUUAGCUAGUUGGUGGGUAAUGGCUCACCAAGGCGACGAUCCGUAACUGGUCUGAGAGGAUGAUCAGUCACACUGGAACUGAGACGACGGUCCAGACUCCGUAGGGAGCAGCAGGUGGGAAUAGUUGGAC
This 344-nucleotide ribosomal RNA is filed under the name uncultured soil bacterium. RNAcentral's name for it is "bacterial SSU rRNA". It matches the Rfam family "Bacterial small subunit ribosomal RNA", at positions 26 to 370 of the family's 1533-position model. The record is from RNAcentral.